GUUUCAUUAUUCGUUGUUGUUUGGAAGGAAGCACGUAAUGUCCUUCUUCUCCGUUUGCUUUCUUUGAGGCUAACCCGAGACACUGUAAAGCCGGCCAGCAUUUGAUAGGUGUGUACAGAGCAAAGAUAAGAUGUAGUCGAUAGGCUUAUUUUUGAAGGAUUCCGACUAUCGUGUGCAGGUUUCUCAACUGGAGCGCCACGGGGAGCGAAGAAGCCAAGGAGUGUAUCAAGAGGCUUGAUGCGCAUGCGCGGUGUGACGGCGGCACACUUCUGGCUGCAUCUUUUUUCAUUUCCCAAGAGGAAAACAUGUUGCUGUGUACCGCUAGCUAUUGCGGACACUGGGAUUGCCCUGCGGGUGCGCCACUCAUAUCACCUUGUCGGUCACAAACACCUGCUACGCUGUCGUACCGUCCGGAUGUUUUGCGGCCAGAACCUUUGGAACUCCAGGUAUCCAUCGCUGGAAGGGGUGCUCUCCUUUCGUUCAGGUACAGUACCCAUGUUGGAUCAGUUUUACUACAAUGCCUUUGUCCGUGUUUUCACUGCUCCUUCCUAGCUGCAUUUUGCAUUUCUGGCAUCGACGCCAAAAUAUAAUUAAUAGGAUCUGGGCCAUGAACCUGUAGUUUUUUAUGAGUUUCCACUCAAACCUAUCUAUUUCCAUUUGGGAAGACAGCACAGGAUGUGCGCUCUUACAACUCACUUCGCACUGCUGGUAUUGCCUCUCAUAAAAAAAGAGAUUUGUUCGAUUAUAUCGUGGCGCUGUUUCAGAAACCUAGCGACGGUUUGUUGCUCCACCUUGGGACCUAUCUGUCCAUACAGCUUA
Long non-coding RNA from Sycon ciliatum, 819 nucleotides. RefSeq lists it as uncharacterized. The record is from RefSeq and is a predicted model, not a curated record. The transcript is spliced from 3 exons. NCBI's taxonomy places the organism in Eukaryota, Metazoa, Porifera, Calcarea, Leucosolenida, Sycettidae.